GACGAACGCUGGCGGCGUGCUUAACACAUGCAAGUCGAACGGAAAGGCCCUGCUUGCAGGGUACUCGAGUGGCGAACGGGUGAGUAACACGUGGGUGAUCUGCCCUGCACUUCGGGAUAAGCCUGGUAAACUGGGUCUAAUACCGGAUAGGAGCCAUUUUUAGUGUGAUGGUUGGAAAGUUUUUUCGGUGUAGGAUGAGCUCGCUGCCUAUCAGCUUGUUGGUGGGGUAAUGGCCUACCAAGGCGGCGACGGGUAGCCGGCCUGAGAGGGUGGACGGCCACAUUGGGACUGAGAUACGGCCCAGACUCCUACGGGAGGCAGCAGUGGGGAAUAUUGCACAAUGGGCGCAAGCCUGAUGCAGCGACGCCGCGUGGGGGAUGACGGCCUUCGGGUUGUAAACUCCUUUCGCUAGGGACGAAGCUUUUUGUGACGGUACCUAGACAAGAAGCACCGGCUAACUACGUG
This 465-nucleotide ribosomal RNA is filed under the name uncultured bacterium. RNAcentral describes it as "partial 16S ribosomal RNA". It matches the Rfam family "Bacterial small subunit ribosomal RNA", at positions 28 to 507 of the family's 1533-position model. The record is from RNAcentral.